AGCUCCAAUAGCGUAUAUUAAAGUUGUUGCAGUUAAAAAGCUCGUAGUUGAAUUUCUGCUGAAGAUAACCGGUCCGCUUUUCAAGUGGUAUCUUGGUGUGGCUUCAGCAUCAUCCUGGAGAACGUUAUCUGUACUUGAUUGUGCGGAGCGGUAUCCAGGACUUUUACUUUGAGAAAAUUAGAGUGUUUCAAGCAGGCUAACGUCUUGAAUACUGCAGCAUGGAAUAAUAAGAUAGGAUUUCGGUUCUACUUUAUUGGUUUUAGGAACUGAAUUAAUGAUUAAUAGGGACAGUUGGGGGCAUUCGUAUUUAACUGUCAGAGGUGAAAUUCUUAGAUUUGUUAAAGACGAACUACUGCGAAAGCAUUUGCCAAAGAUGUUUUCA
Molecule: ribosomal RNA, 382 nt
Filed under: uncultured eukaryote
Lineage: Eukaryota
Description: SSU rRNA
Rfam family: Eukaryotic small subunit ribosomal RNA
Source: RNAcentral